GUAACGGUUCCCCGGAGGCAGGAGAAGCAGGAGUAGCAGGAGGGAAAAGACUGUUAAAAAAGGUUCCUGAGAGAUGACCACUCAGUGAAUCAAGACAGGCUUCACCAGAAAUGACAGGAACAGAAAGGUCUGUCAGCCCCUUCUGCCUAAUGGCUCAGCGUCAGUCCCUGCUUUCUACAAGACCAACCUUCUUCUCUGUCCCAGGAAGGAAGGAGGAAAAGAUUGCUGCCUCCAGAAACAUUUAAUUUGUCUAGCUACAGUAAUUAGAUUCUUUAUUCAUGGGCAUAUGUAGCUAAUCUCAACGGCAUGCACUUAAAUUGGGUUAAGAAGAUAUCUUUGAAAUGUCA
Molecule: long non-coding RNA, 347 nt
Organism: Mastomys coucha (southern multimammate mouse)
Lineage: Eukaryota; Metazoa; Chordata; Mammalia; Rodentia; Muridae
Exons: 2
Source: RefSeq, a predicted model, not a curated record